RNAcentral lists this small nucleolar RNA (69 nucleotides) under Pelobates cultripes (western spadefoot toad). The record is from RNAcentral. Lineage: Eukaryota; Metazoa; Chordata; Amphibia; Anura; Pelobatidae.
AGUGAUGAUUUAACCUGAAAAUAGCUGGAAUUACCGGCAGACUGCAGGUGGUGAGAAGGGUUUGUCUGA